Molecule: long non-coding RNA, 390 nt
Organism: Vigna angularis (adzuki bean)
Lineage: Eukaryota; Viridiplantae; Streptophyta; Magnoliopsida; Fabales; Fabaceae
Exons: 2
Source: RefSeq, a predicted model, not a curated record
UCGCCACCCUCUCAAUUGUGAAUCCUCCCUCCUUCGUCUCGUGGGUAUUUGAAGUCGUUGCUGCAACAUUGGUUCUUCUCGGCGAACAUUUAGGUUGUUCUUUCGAUGGUGGUUGUGAGGUGGUUGAGCUCGCCUGAUUGACUAUGUAAAGAAGGGUCUGUGAGCUGAAGCAGUGCAUUGAGGGAUUUCCACAACUAUUGGAGCUUAGAAGUUUCUAGCUUAGAGACCUUAUUCAUUUGAGGUAGCAUCUUUAGGAAGAGGAGCUGAAACAGAAUCUGGGUUGAAUAGGGAACUUUCAGCCAGCUGCAAGUGCUAACUUUAGUACAAAAAUCUGCAACCCAUGAGUUUUUGUUAAAGCAUUUCAUUCAUAGUGAAUUUCCUACCAUUCCA